UAGGGAAUAUUGGACAAUGGGGGCAACCCUGAUCCAGCCAUGCCGCGUGAGUGAAGAAGGCCCUCGGGUUGUAAAGCUCUUUUGUCCGGAAGGAAAAGCUUCGGGUUAAUACCCCGGGGUUCUGACGGUACCGGAAGAAUAAGCACCGGCUAACUUCGUGCCAGCAGCCGCGGUAAUACGAAGGGUGCAAGCGUUACUCGGAAUUACUGGGCGUAAAGCGUGCGUAGGUGGUUGUUUAAGUCUGAUGUGAAAGCCCUGGACUCAACCUGGGAAUGGCAUUGGAAACUGGGCAGCUAGAGUGCGGUAGAGGGUAGUGGAAUUCCCGGUGUAGCAGUGAAAUGCGUAGAGAUCGGGAGGAACAUCUGUGGCGAAGGCGACUGCCUGGACCAGCACUGACACUGAGGCACGAAAGCGUGGGGAGCAAACA
Molecule: ribosomal RNA, 427 nt
Filed under: uncultured bacterium
Lineage: Bacteria
Description: bacterial SSU rRNA
Rfam family: Bacterial small subunit ribosomal RNA
Source: RNAcentral